UACGUAGGUGGCGAGCGUUGUCCGGAUUUAUUGGGCGUAAAGGGCUCGUAGGCGGUUUGUCGCGUCGGGAGUGAAAACUCAGGGCUCAACCCUGAGCGUGCUUCCGAUACGGGCAGACUAGAGGUAUGCAGGGGAGAACGGAAUUCCUGGUGUAGCGGUGGAAUGCGCAGAUAUCAGGAGGAACACCGAUGGCGAAGGCAGAUCUCUGGGCCGUAACUGACGCUGAGGAGCGAAAGCGUGGGGAGCGAACAGG
RNAcentral lists this ribosomal RNA (253 nucleotides) under uncultured bacterium. Its description in RNAcentral is "partial 16S ribosomal RNA". It matches the Rfam family "Bacterial small subunit ribosomal RNA", at positions 524 to 776 of the family's 1533-position model. The record is from RNAcentral.